UACGUAGGUGGCAAGCGUUGUCCGGAUUUACUGGGCGUAAAGGCUGCGUAGGCGGACAUUUAAGUCAGAUGUGAAAUACCCGAGCUUAACUUGGGUGCUGCAUUUGAAACUGGGUGUCUAGAGUGCAGGAGAGGUAAGUGGAAUUCCUAGUGUAGCGGUGAAAUGCGUAGAGAUUAGGAAGAACACCAGUGGCGAAGGCGACUUACUGGACUGUAACUGACGCUGAGGCAUGAAAGCGUGGGGAGCAAACAGG
Molecule: ribosomal RNA, 253 nt
Filed under: uncultured bacterium
Lineage: Bacteria
Description: partial 16S ribosomal RNA
Rfam family: Bacterial small subunit ribosomal RNA
Source: RNAcentral